This 232-nucleotide long non-coding RNA is filed under the name Lathyrus oleraceus (garden pea). RNAcentral's name for it is "Pisum sativum (pea) long non-coding RNA (PSAT_LNC029941)". The record is from RNAcentral. Lineage: Eukaryota; Viridiplantae; Streptophyta; Magnoliopsida; Fabales; Fabaceae.
UCGAUUGAAAAGCGCAUGAGAUAUAUUAUCUAUUACCAUCAGAACAUAGAUAACAUACUCACAUGGAAGAUUAUCCACAACCGGUUAUUGGGUUAAUAAAGGAUAAAUCGACCGAAAAGAAAGGACAUCGAGAUACCGAAUACUGGGUAUAUAAUGAUGACCGGUCAACGGGGAGAAACAAUCAUUACCGAACAAGGGUAAAUGAAAGAUGACUCGUUAGGGAUACAUUGAC